GAAAGAGAAGGGGGGUCGCGACGGGGAGGACGGGCCGGCCGAGCAUGGGCUGCUGGGCACUGGGUACUGACAUUGACAUCGCGUGGAACUGGCGACCCACCAUGACGUGGGAGCGGGGAGAGUGAGAGAGUGGGGAGUGGAACAGGGAUGGUAACCAUAAUAAAAAAAAUGUCAAUUUAAAUGAAGAAACAAAACAAGAAGCAGACACAAAAACGGCUACUAUACUAAUGAGGCAAGGGGUCAUAGUAAAAAUCAUGUCAACACAAAGCUUAGAUUGAUACCGUUACAUAAAAAAUGUCCAAGCUUUUAAAGAUGAGCUAACAAGAAAACACUGUUCUCGACAGCUAAUUAGACUCUUGCCUCUUUCAUGAUUUGAAUGAGCAAUGUGGUAAAA
This is a long non-coding RNA of Frankliniella occidentalis (western flower thrips), 394 nucleotides long. RefSeq lists it as uncharacterized. The transcript has 2 exons. The record is from RefSeq and is a predicted model, not a curated record. Lineage: Eukaryota; Metazoa; Arthropoda; Insecta; Thysanoptera; Thripidae.